Molecule: unclassified non-coding RNA, 333 nt
Filed under: soil metagenome
Description: partial contains 5.8S ribosomal RNA, internal transcribed spacer 2, and large subunit ribosomal RNA
Rfam family: 5.8S ribosomal RNA (bases 1-120)
Source: RNAcentral
GAUGAAGAACGUAGUGAAAUGCGAUAAGUAAUGUGAAUUGCAGAAUUCAGUGAAUCAUCGAAUCUUUGAACGCACAUUGCGCCCCGUGGUAUUCCGCGGGGCAUGCCUGUUCGAGCGUCAUUUCACCACUCAAGCCUCGCUUGGUAUUGGGCGACGCGGUCCGCCGCGCGCCUCAAAUCGACCGGCUGGGUCGAUCGCACCCUCAGCGUUGUGGAAACUAUUCGCUAAAGGAGUUGUGGUCGGUCACGCCGUGAAACAAACCAAUCUUUCAAUGGUUGACCUCGGAUCAGGUAGGGAUACCCGCUGAACUUAAGCAUAUCAAUAAGCGGAGGA